UACGUAGGGUGCAAGCGUUGUCCGGAAUUAUUGGGCGUAAAGAGCUCGUAGGCGGUUUGUCGCGUCUGCUGUGAAAACUCGGGGCUUAACUCCGGGCCUGCAGUGGGUACGGGCAGACUAGAGUGCGGUAGGGGAGACUGGAAUUCCUGGUGUAGCGGUGAAAUGCGCAGAUAUCAGGAGGAACACCGGUGGCGAAGGCGGGUCUCUGGGCCGUAACUGACGCCGAGGAGCGAAAAGCGUGGGGAGCGAACAGG
This 254-nucleotide ribosomal RNA is filed under the name uncultured bacterium. RNAcentral's name for it is "partial 16S ribosomal RNA". It matches the Rfam family "Bacterial small subunit ribosomal RNA", at positions 524 to 776 of the family's 1533-position model. The record is from RNAcentral.